Molecule: ribosomal RNA, 448 nt
Filed under: uncultured bacterium
Lineage: Bacteria
Description: bacterial SSU rRNA
Rfam family: Bacterial small subunit ribosomal RNA
Source: RNAcentral
UCGGGAAUUUUGGGCAAUGGGCGAAAGCCUGACCCAGCAACGCCGCGUGAAGGAUGAAGUAUUUCGGUAUGUAAACUUCGAAAGAAUGGGAAGAAUCAAUGACGGUACCAUUUAUAAGGUCCGGCUAACUACGUGCCAGCAGCCGCGGUAAUACGUAGGGACCAAGCGUUGUUCGGAUUUACUGGGCGUAAAGAGCAUGUAGGAGGUCCGGUGCGUCUCUGGUUAAAGCCCACCGCCUAACGGUGGAAGUGCCAGAGAUACGAUCGGACUGGAGGAUGUGAGAGGUGCAUGGAACUCACGGUGUAGGGGUGAAAUCCGUUGAUAUCGUGGGGAACACCAAAGGCGAAGGCAGUGCACUGGUACAUUCCUGACUCUGAGAUGCGAAAGCGUGGGGAGCAAAAAAGGAUUAGAUACCCACGUAGUCCCUGAGCGGGCUGGCAAGGCGCAU